Molecule: ribosomal RNA, 211 nt
Filed under: Porticoccaceae bacterium
Lineage: Bacteria; Pseudomonadati; Pseudomonadota; Gammaproteobacteria; Cellvibrionales; Porticoccaceae
Description: partial 16S ribosomal RNA
Rfam family: Bacterial small subunit ribosomal RNA
Source: RNAcentral
AAGAUUAAACUGAAGAGUUUGAUCAUGGCUCAGAUUGAACGCUGGCGGCAGGCCUAACACAUGCAAGUCGAGCGCGAAAACACUUCGGUGUGAGUAGAGCGGCGGACGGGUGAGUAAUGCUUGGGAAUCUGCCCAGUAGUGGGGGAUAACGUGUGGAAACGCACGCUAAUACCGCAUACGUCCUACGGGAGAAAGCAGGGGAUCUUCGGAC